This is a non-coding RNA of Pelodiscus sinensis (Chinese soft-shelled turtle), 1026 nucleotides long. The record is from RefSeq and is a predicted model, not a curated record. Lineage: Eukaryota; Metazoa; Chordata; Testudines; Trionychidae.
GUGGAUGUUGGAGCAGCUGGGGCAGCUGUACGGCUGCGAGGAAGAAGAGAUGCCAGAUGUAGAAAUUGACAUAGAUGACCUUCUUGAUGCAGCUAAUGAAGAGGAGAGAGCUAUCAAAUUACAGGAAGCUCUUGUAGAUUGCUACAAACCAACAGAGGAGUUUAUCAGAGAACUGCUAACUCGGAUAAGAGGGAUGAGGAAGCUAAGCCCCCCUCAAAAGAAGAGUAUAUAGUAGCACUCUCCAUGACACCUUGCAAGGGAAAUGGGAUUUUGACAAGACCUUUUAUUAAAAUAGUUGUCUUUCCGAGCAACUUUUUUUUUUUUUUUUUUUUGGUUUGAUUCAGUUUUGACAUUUACUCAAGGGAGUCCUAUGUCAUGUGAUUUUAAGGGGUUUUUUAAGUGUCAAUUUUUUUAUCAAAGAUAUCAGCAUUUUUGGAUGCUGCUCAACUACCCUGCUCGAGGAUCAUUGACCCGGAUGAAGAAUCCAAGCAUUAGUGACCAUGCCAUAGCAGUGAAGGGCAGCAGUCCCACAUGGUGAAUCAGAAGACUAUGUAAAGUUGCAAAGCUAGAAGAGAUGCCUUUUAAUUUUCCCCUAGCAAUUAGUAGGAUGACAUUUUAAGUUGGUUGUACAUUUAACUCAUGGGUGUCAAGAUUCUUGUGCUUGUAUGUAUAUAAGUUGUAAAGUGGGGGUGUGAAUGCUGUUCAUGUGGCCGGAAGGGAACUUGUUACAGUAAACUACUUAAAUGGUGACUGCUGCAAACAUGUUACCAGAGGGCAACAAUUUAGGUUACCAAAAUGAGUGUUGCCAUUUUCUAAAUCCAUCUUAAAGCACUGAGGUGAAAGAUGUCAGCAUACUUCAUUGAAAAAGCAACAUAUGAAAACUGGGGAUUUUCUUAAGGGCUUAAUUUGUAGACUUCUAAUUGUUUUAUUGACUUUGAUGCUUUGCCAGAUCAUUUCCUCUUCACCUCAUGGUGUGUUAGGGUAUGUCUACACUACCACCCUAGUUCGAACUAGGGUGGUUAAAGU